GGCGAGGUAGCUCAGAUGGUUAGAGCGCAGGAUUCAUAACCCUGAGGUCAGGGGUUCGACUCCCCUUUUCGCUA
Molecule: transfer RNA, 74 nt
Filed under: Bacteroidota bacterium
Lineage: Bacteria; Pseudomonadati; Bacteroidota
Description: Bacteroidetes bacterium tRNA-Met
Rfam family: tRNA
About the family: Transfer RNA (tRNA) molecules are approximately 80 nucleotides in length. Their secondary structure includes four short double-helical elements and three loops (D, anti-codon, and T loops).
Source: RNAcentral